UGUUGGAGGUUGAUUUUUUGGGAGGUGGCGGGCUCGUCCCGCGGGCGCACGGCUCCGAGUGCAGGAAUUCCUGCCAGCUCGCCUUUGUGCCAGCCUCUGUUGGCCUUGGGUGUCUCGUUCGGAUGGAGCCUGGCAUCCAGGCACCGCCCAUUUCUUGGCGUUGAGCUGCGAGGAGAAGGAAAGGGGAGAGAGCGAGCGAGAGAAGGGAAAAAAAAAAAGCUGUCUCACUCAAACUGGCCUUUCUCGGAAAAGGAUCCUUCCCCGAUGAUUGUCCGGAUAAGCGGAGCUAAAUCCAGCCACCACUCAACAACAAAACCACUCUCUUCCACGGAGCCACAGAGCAGCCAAUGCCCCGGAGACAGUCAGGUCUUCAGUUCUCGUCAUCUACUUCUACUCCAAGCAUGGAAGCAGGUGGUGCAAGUAAUGCAAAGCCAGUGAUACGGCCGUGAAUCAGGCGAGACCUCUGUACUGCUCUGUGGAGGUGAGGUAGUAGGUUGUAUAGUUUGGUGGGAGGGAUUUUAUCCCAUUUCAGGUGAUAACUAUACAGUCUAUUGCCUUCCUUAAAGAGCAGCAAAACCACCGGAGGACUGUCUCAGCCACAGAGCUCCUGAGGCAGCACUUCUUUCUGUUGAGGAUCCCAAAACACAGCACAGCGUUGUUGAACAACUCAUUGGGUCUUCCCUUAUAGCAUCCAGGAUCACAUUCUUCUAGGGACUGCUCCGUGCCUCCGUGUGAGCACGGAGCCACCUAUUUACAGAAAAUCUCUCUCUGUUUAAUGUGUGCAAGAAAAACAAUGAAAUGUGUUGGUGCAUCAGGUCCUGGUGUUCAGUUCUAUUAUAUUUUUUUUUUUUGCAGGAGAUGGGCUCAAGUUGUAAAGGGCUUAAGUGUGCUGUUCUUUUCUGGUCUGUCCUUGAGUCUAGAGCGGAGUGGAUGCUUUGGUACAAAGAGGAUAGAUCCAAAUUUGUGAUUUAAGUUUGUUGCACCCAGUUCUGAAGUUUGGGUUAAGAACUAGAUCCAAGAGGAAGCUUAGCCUGUGGACUCAAAGCCCUGGGAGCUGAUCAGCUUUGGCUGGUUGGCCCCUGCUCAGGAAGUACAUUCCGUUUUGGACAAGUUCCCAGCUCUCCCAUGCUAUAGAGUUAGAGUGUGUUUUCUUCUGAUUUGAUAAUCCAUAUCAAUUUAAGUCAUUUAUAUGCAAACCCUAGCAAGGAGAUUAGGGCUUCUGUGUAUUUACAUAGAAUAAGCCAAUGAUUCAGACUAACUCUCUGUCCUAGAGCAGAGACAGGUAAGGAGGAGAUGUGAGCCAAAGGGAGCAAGUCCUAAUCCUCCUGGGCUCUCCCAGGCAGGUAGCACUGUCAUCUGACAGCAGACAUAUGAGAAGACAGCAUGCUUCAGAGCUCUGGCACUUGACAAGGGACAGGGAAUCAUUCUCUCUUCUUCUUAGGAGCAGAUGGGACUAUCCCUCUGCCAUAUUCCGAAGUAAGUAGGAUCAAGUCCAUGAGUGGAGCUGGAGCUGUAACACGAUCAGGGCUGCAUCAGUUCUUCAGGGCUGAAGGGCAUCUCAGGCCAUUAUCACUGCCAUCUCACUGUCAGGGAGACGCGUGAGAUCUGAGACAUCGGGGAGCGAGGGCAAGCAGAGGACACCUUCUCAGAUGAAGUGGAGGAAGAGAGCUGCAAAAAGGAAUUGGAGCCCUCAAAUUUCACCCUGAGCACAGGGAGACCCAGACCUGACUGCUUGGCCCAUGGGACUCCCCAAAAAUGAAGCAGCUUGUUUAAGGCUCCUCUGCUUCUUGGGAUGGGGCGUAGCUGCAGCGGGGCUGGGACGCGACUUCCUCAGGCUGGGCAACAGCUGGUGGGUGGGGAUGCCGCAGUGUCUAGCAGCGAAGGAAUGCAGACCUCUCCAUAAAUCUGGCUCUUCAGCAGUCCUGGCGACUUGCUGUGCAAAACUACAGCUUGGUCCUCUUGGAUGCCUUAUUAUCCACUAGCUGCUUGCUGAGGGGCAGGGCUCCUACCCGCAAAUUGCUUGGAAGGUACCAAAAUAGCACCACAAGCAUGGGAACAGAGCAGCAUAUCCACUUCGUAUUUAGGAGGUAUCCCCUAGAAAAGAACUCAUCCUGUGUGUCCCAAAUGAAAUCAGUUCAGUCCCCCUCCAUUAAUUUGAUAUUAAUGCAGAGAAUCUCAAGCAGUGAAACUGUAUGAACUGGAAGCCAUGAAUAAAAUAUUACUGGAAGUAUUCUCUUGUGAAAAUAAACUUGUUUUGACUUUUUAAAAA
Molecule: long non-coding RNA, 2269 nt
Organism: Tyto alba (common barn owl)
Lineage: Eukaryota; Metazoa; Chordata; Aves; Strigiformes; Tytonidae
Exons: 3
Source: RefSeq, a predicted model, not a curated record